AGUAUCACCUGUGAGCCGGAAGGAAAAGGUCAUUUGCAGAAGGAGGUCAUAGAUCACACAGUGAGACUUGCUUACACAAACAGCUUGGUCUUCCUCAUUGGCUUGCACUCUGGAGCUCUCCUGACUCUGAUUUGAUCAGAAAUUUUUAGCUAUCGAAUCAGUUUCUGCACAGCUGUCUAGAUAAGUUAUAGAAUCAAUAAAAUUUAAAAAAUUUUCCACACUCACUCCUGAAAUGUAUUUUAUCUGAGUAUAGAAUUUAAUGUUAGGAUACUUGCAAGUUUCCCUCAUCUCUUUGAAAAUGUUAAUCUAUUGUCUUCUUACAUUUAUUGCUGCCAAAGGAAUGUCUACUGUUGGUCUAAAUAUCAUUCCCUCAAAGAUAAUAUUUAUUUUUUAACUCUGAUAAGUUUUAAAGUUUCCCCUACCUUGUCCUUGGUAUUCUGCUGUUUCACUAUAAUAAGCUUCAGUGAAGAUUUAUUUUUACUUAACCUAUGUAAUAAGUGUAGAAUUUUUAUCAGAAAGAUAGGGCUGUGGUUUUUGUUCUGUCUGGAAAAUUCUCAGCUAUUUUCUCUUUCAUAAGAGUUUCUUUUGAAACUCUUAGUAUUAUCUGGUGAAGUUUCUUGAGUAUCUAAUUUUUACUUUUUUAUUUUUAAUAUAAUUUGUCUCUAAAUGUUGCAUUUGGGGGAAAUUCCUCAUUAUUCUCUUUAAAUUAACUAUUUUUUCUUACUAAUCAGGUUGGAGUAUUCUAUCCACUUAGGUAUAUAUUUUAUUCUCUACCUUUUUCGUUCUUAACAUUUCUAAGUGCUUCUUUCACAUUUUCUCUUGUACUUAUCUCAUUUAUGCUUGUUUUUCAUUGGCAAUGUAUUAGAGUUUAAUAGAUUUUAUUCCACCAUCUAUCUCCUUAUAGAGAAGAGGAUCUUAUAGUUAUUUUUAAGUCUUUUUUAGAAUUGCUUUGUUAACUUUAACUGAAGCAAUUUCAUACUGAUUUUGAAGUGUGGCUCUUCUGGAAGGAUUUUCUUCUUGUAGUUUUGAGCUCUAUAAUAUCAGAUCCACACCCCCCCCUCCCCCGCCCCAACCCCUUUUCUCUGCAGUCUCAUCUGUCUAGUAGUUUCAUGGCCUCUUUUACCAGGGCUUCCAGAGUCCUCAGUUCUGAGACUGGAUUUAUAGAUGUGCUAUGCAGCUCACAGUCCUUGGAGACAUUAGAACUGUCGCAUAUUCAGACAGAGGAGCCUGGUGUGCAGCAGUCCAUGAGGUCACAAAGAGUCGGACACAGCUUAGCGACUGAACAACAAUAUUCAGUCAUGCAUGUAGGGACAGCUUGGCUCAGCUCCAUGUCAUGUGGCUGUUGUACCUAGGACUUCCUAGCUCUUAAACUCCACAACUCCAUAUAAGCCAUAGUCCCGGGCCAUAUUUGGCAGAAGUUCUGUUUAGCUUUCUUUCAUCAGUCAGAAAGCUCUGCCUCAUUCCCCGAUUUUAAGAAGGGAGGCUGGCUCUCGUCCUCAGCCUCAAGUGGGACAUAUUUAUUGUUGACUAAACCCGUGAACAAGCCCUGCUUUCCUUCCAGGCAUUGAUCUCACAGGGCUUUGGCUUGUAUCCAGGUCAUUAAUUAUCUUGCAGUUGUUUUCCAUUCUUCUAGCAAGGAAGGGUUUCUUCUUCUUUAGCCUGGCUGUGCCUUUUCAUUUUCCUUUUAAAGUGUGUUGUGGAUCAUUGCUAUUUGUUCAGAUUGGGAGGGGCUGGCCCUCCAGAAGCGCACCUACAAUUCUAGUCUAACCCUAAGGCCCCAGUUUUGUCAUUAGGUGAUCAGAAACAAUGCUUUGUUUUACAUUUUUAAGCUACAACUAACACUCAAGUUGUUUUCAGUUACACAGAGUCCUUUGAUAAGAAUAGAAGAAUAGGGACUGUAGGAUUUCCCAAGUGGACCUGAGUUUUAUUAUUGUGAUACAUCUAGAGACCUACAGAUCUGGGAUUAAAUGUUUAUUUUCUCCAUAAGGGUAGAAAUGCAUAUUUUAAUGUCUUUGAGACUUAGUUUCCCCAUCUAUAAAAUGGGGAAAUUGUUUCAGCAUUUAGGAGUUUUAUGAUGAAUAAAUUGAACAUGUAUGAAGUAUAUGCCAAUGGUGCCUGACUCUAUACCUUGGCAGAUAGUAAUAAAAAAAAUCCAACUGAGAUGCGUAAGCAAAAUGUAAAUUGACUGGCAUAUUUUACUAGCAGUUCAGAGACAGGGUGGGUUUAAGCACUAACCUAUUACAGGGCCUCCAGUCAUGAUUUCCUAUGAUUCUCUUGGAUUUACCAUCUUCAUAUGGAUCUACUUGUCAGGCUGAUAGCGACAAGCUACUUGGACCUAUCUGUGUAUCACAACAUCCAGGAAGGACAACAGUUAUGUAAGGGGGCAAGACGUUCUGGUUGGCUAAAUCCAUGUGGCUCGAUCUUCAGCCUCGGGUAGGAUCAGGUUUCCCCGAGUUGCCAAAGAUGUGUUGGGAGGAGGACCCUUGCUAAGAGGGUAAAAGGGGGGUUCCCAGUAGGAGUGCUAGGAUGUUUUGGGUACCCAACUCAAACUGACAAUAGAAAAAUACAGUAUCAGGUUGGCCAAAAAGUUCAUUUGGGUUUUCCAUAAAAUGCUAUGAACUUUUUGGCCAACCCAAUACAUUACAAGACAGGCAGUCCAAAGGCAUGGCUCAGUGAUACCAUGAAGACUGCUUGGACCAGCUCACAGGCAUUAAUUGUUCAAUACUCAGGAAUUUUGUAAGCCAACUGUUAAAUUGUUGGCAGCUUACUGACCUGGGUUUGAUCCCUGGGUCAGGAAGAUUGCCUGGAGAAGGAAAUGGCAACACACUCCAGUACUCUUGCCUAGAAAAUCCCAUGGAUGGAGGAGCUUGGUGCAGGCUACUGUCCAUGGGGUUGCAAAGAGUUGGGCAUGAAUGAGCGACUUCGCUUCACUUUAUAUUACUGUGGUGGGAGUAAUUACUUUGCUUUUUAGGUAGAAGAGACCAGUCUACUAUGAAACCCAGUGAAUGUCAGGAGACUUGCAAGUUUUGCUUAAAAGUCCUACAUUUAAUUUCUAGCCACCAUUCCAAGCAUUUGUCUGGUAACGCUCACACUGAUAAAGAUAGGAUCAAGCUAAAGAGUGGGACACGUCGGAGAGACUAAGCAGAGCAGAGAGAAGCUCUAUCUUCUUCUCUUCCAUGAGCAUGUUUGAAGGGGACUUUCCUGGUGGUCCAGUGGUUGAGAGUCUGUGCUCCCAAUGCAGGGAGCCCAGGUUCAACCCCUGGUCAGGGAAUUAGAUCCCACAUGCCACAAUUAAGAGUUUGCAUGCUACAAUGAAGACUGAAGAUCCCACAUGCCACAACUCAAGACCUGGCACAGUCAAAUAAAUAAAUAGUGUUAAAAAAAUGUUUGAAGAGAGGGGUUCGCUUGCUGACACCAACAGUAAUAUUUUUUUUUAAUUUUUUAAUGAGAGGGGACUAAUCUAGUGGUAACAUUAACCACCUUGUGAGACAUGUGCAGUCAUCAGCCAUCAGCUCCUAUUGGAGACACAAACCCAGAACACAGAGACUGGGCGCCACCAGUGGCCACCGAACCAGGAAGGGAGAGCCUUGCCUUUCCUUCCUGCUCGCCUCAUUUUCUCAGCUUUCUCCUCUUCCCCUUCUUCUCUAGCAACAACUUGAAAUCACCUCUCUCUUGCCCCUCCCUCUUCCCCAUCCUUCUUCUUUCCCUCCAUCUCACACGUUUGCUAUAUUCUUUCCCUUUACUUCUCUAACUUGCACAUUGGAUUCAUCAGGAAAGUGUGUAACCAUAGCAAAAAAUAUUUUUUAAUUAAAAACAAAGACUAAGAGUCUAGAGAUUCAGGAUAUGUCGGCCCCAGAAAACAUUUUCAUCAAUGUACCUUGGAUCUACUGUGUGUAUGGCACUAAUAAUCUUGUGGCAUCUGCCCUCCUAGACGAGUAAGCUAACUUCAGCUACGAGGGAAAAAAAUCGCAGCUACAAAAUUAAAGACUAAAGGACUGGUCCACUGGUCCUUCAAAUGCAUCUGUGGCGAGUGAGGAUGGCUCAGAACAUAUCCAUCAUUGAAAGGAGCAUCAAGGACAGGCACAGCACAGACUGGAGUAGUAGGUCAAGGACUCAAUCUGAAAUCAGACAAAUCCAAGUUCAGAUUCUAGUUCUGCCACUAACUAACUUACAAUCUUGAAUUUAACAUCUCCAAGUUUCCGUUUCCUCAGCUAUAAAAUGAAAGACACGUCUGGCUUGCCCUUCUUAUGAUGGAGAAGAACAAGAAGAAAAUACAUGGGCAAGUGUAAUAAAUUAUAAUGCACUAUGGAACAGCUUCUUAACCAUUAACGUGCAUAGAAUCACCUGAGAAAAUUCUUUAAAUGCAUAUUCCCCAGGUCUUUCUCCCAGAGAUGUUCAGGAAGUACAGGGCUGUGCCUGGAAAGGUGUAUAUUACCAAGCAUCUUUGAUAAAUAAUCAUGAUGCUGAAGGCUCUUGGACCACAAUUUUAAAAACUGCGUUAUGCAAAUAUAUACCAAUUGAAAGAGAGAUUAAGGCACAGAAGUUAUUAACUUCCUUUGUAAUAACACUAAUUAUUUUCUAUUUUGAAUAAAAGUUUUAUGAAGUCCCUUUACUCAUAGAUUAAUUAAAUCAGAGAAUUGUAUUUUGUUCAUCCUUUGGUGUUCACAGCAAAUAUUUAUAAAUAUUUACUGUAUGGUAAUCAGAUCUGGGGGAGGGGGGAAGAUCGCCUGGAGGAGGGCAUGACAACCCACUCCAAUAUUCUUGCCUGGAGAAUUCCAUGGACAAAGGAGCCUGGCAGGCUACAGUUCAUAGGGUCACAAAGAGUUAGACAUGACUGAAGUGACUUAGCACACAUGCAAUCAGAUCUAGGACAGUCUAUAAAGCAUCCUUGAAGGUUUUACCUCAUUUACGGGUAUAUUUGGGUAACAGGACUUGGCAGAAUCAUCUUGAGCUCUGCCUCUGGAUUCCCAUGGGCUGCUCUUUGCUUACAAAUAAGUGACCCAGUGCCUUCUGAUAAUGGCUUCACCCUGCAGAAAGAGGUAGAUGUGCAGGAAGUUUAGCAACGAAGUUUCAGGAAUCUCCUUAAGUUCUCCGUCACUGUGUCUAUCACAGACUUCCAGGUCUUUCCAACCAGUACUGGCAGGAUUUUCACAAUAUCAAAGCAAAGGAUUCGGCCCCCCUACUCUUCAGAGUGUGCUCAUCCACUGCGUUGUUGCCCCAGCAGAGACAGUCCAGUUCAAAGCGUGCACAAGCGUUAUGCAGUCUGGCCCCUGGGGAGUGGGGCUGGAGUAGAAUAGCUCGAUGUGACAACCCCAGCACCUGGACAUUAGUAUUUCUACUCUCAUCUUAGGCAACAGGAGACAACAAAGCUUCCCAAAGGGGCUGCAGAAACUUGCUUUGCUGGGGCUAUGUUCAGACUUCACACUAAUAUGGCAAGGAAGGUGCUUAAAUGGAAUCACAGAAUUUUUAGUCUUUGAGAAAAUCCCUGUUGAACUAUUCUUUUUGAGCCAGGCACCAUUUUAAACCUUUCACUAAAAUGUUAAUAAAAUACCCAAAGACUCCAGUACUCUUGCCUAGAAAAUUCCAUGGACUGAGGAGCCUGGUAGGCUACAGUCCAUGGGGUCACAAAGAGUCGGACACGACUGAGCGACUUUACUUACUUGCUUACUCUUUGUGGCGCUAAGAUUCUAGCAGCAGGAGACACACUACAUAAUAAAUGGACUUGAUUGCAGUUGAUCUUUGUAAAGACCAUUUGUUGAAUUGGUGGAAACCUGAAUCAGUAAAUGAGAGGUGAUCUCAAUGCAGCACUUACUUUUUUUUUUUCGGUGGUUUUAUUCAUCCAGCUCUUGCUCUUAGCAGUUGCUUAGGAAAAAAGAUUGAAUACAGAAAUGUGAGGAGCAUGGAAGAACUAAAUCUGAUUUAAAUGUAGUAUAGCAAAUAAAGGAAUGUGAUUCUGUUUUUGCUUGACCUAAAAUGUGACUCAUUAAUGCAGCACUUUUUGCACCCCAUCCUGCCAAGUUCUUGUGCAAAGCACACUCUGCCCUUGGGCAUUUUCCUGACUCCACUACUUUUUUCUAGGGAUGACCUAUGCCUCACACCUUAGUCAUCUUUUCACUGAGAAAGGACUUUCUUAAGAACAUCGAAUUUGGAAAGUCCCUUUUUGCACCUCUCUUUUUUUGUUUUCAACUGAGAUGAAAUUCACAUAAGAUUAUCCACUUGAAAGCGUACAGUUCAGCGGCAUUUAGUAUAUUCACAAAGUUGUGCAAUCUCCAUCUCUCUCUAGUUCCAAAACAUUUCCAUCAUUCCUAGAGAAAAUGCUGUAUCCAUGUAGGGGUCAUUUCUCCCCCUCCCCAACUCCAGUCCCUGGAAACCACCAAUUUGCUUUCUAUCUCUAAGGGUUUAACUCUUCUGGACAUUUCAUAUAAAUGAAAUCACAUAAUAUGUGGUCUUUUGUGUCUGCUUUCUCUCAUGGAACUGUAUGUCUAAGAAUAUUCAAGUGAAGCAGCAGAUUUUAAUUCUGCGGUGAAAAAAAGGAAAUGCAAUACCUGCUAGUUCUUAUCUGAUAGUUAUAAUCAAAGAUUUUUCUGAUUUCUUCAGCUUCAGGUGACACAUACAAUGCUUGUCGGAUUUAUAUUUCCUAGGGCAAGUUUUCUUUGGAUAAAGAUACAUAAUAACACCUGAAACUAACACAACAUUGAAAAUCAACUAUACGCCAAUAAAAAAAAAGAUCCAGAA
Long non-coding RNA from Bubalus bubalis (water buffalo), 6735 nucleotides. RefSeq lists it as uncharacterized. The transcript has 2 exons. NCBI's taxonomy places the organism in Eukaryota, Metazoa, Chordata, Mammalia, Artiodactyla, Bovidae. The record is from RefSeq and is a predicted model, not a curated record.